Molecule: non-coding RNA, 522 nt
Organism: Hydra vulgaris (swiftwater hydra)
Lineage: Eukaryota; Metazoa; Cnidaria; Hydrozoa; Anthoathecata; Hydridae
Source: RefSeq, a predicted model, not a curated record
UGUUUCUUUUUCAGUUAAAGUUUUAUUAAAAUUUUUGUUUCUUUUUCAGUUAAAGUUUUAUUAAAAUUUUAAUAAGUUAUUUAAAAUAAAUAUCUUUCAGCGUUUUUCAAGUGUUUUUACUAGUUGUUAUACAAGUGGACCGGAGAUUGAUGUAUUUGAAAGGCCUAAGGGUAAUUGAAAACUGAUUCUUAAAAAGAAGAUAAAUUAUGAUAACUUGAAGAAGUUUGACUCAGGGGAAAAAAAGUGCCCCAAGAAGACCUCGCUGAGCACCGCGGAAGAGCAUUUAAAUAGCAAGUUCAUACCUCCUUUUUUAACUAUCAUGCCUUCUUCCUUACCAAAGGAUCAUAUACUUUUACUUUUUAGAAAUAUUUUAUCUUUUUGAGUUUACUUUAAUACUGUGUAUUUUUAUUUAUCUUUUAAAAAAAAUUAUUUGUACAGACUUACAAAAAAUCUUCUUUAUCAAAUAAAUAAAACGGUGACUUUGUAAAUAGAUGUGUUAACAGGAUUUAUUUUCUAAUAAAA